This 1785-nucleotide ribosomal RNA is filed under the name Soliformovum irregulare. RNAcentral's name for it is "SSU rRNA". It matches the Rfam family "Eukaryotic small subunit ribosomal RNA". The record is from RNAcentral. Lineage: Eukaryota; Evosea; Variosea; Fractovitellida; Soliformoviidae.
CAUGCAUGUUUAAGUUUAAGCACAAAUACUGUGAAACCGCGGACGGCUCAUUAUAUCAGUAAUAAUCUACUACACAAACCAGUUGGAUCGGAUAACUGCGGAAAAUCUGGAGCUAAUACGUGUACAGUGAGCCCUCGAGAGAGGGAGACGCAAUAGCCUUUAAUGCUUCGACGGGAUCUCCCGUGUAGCGAACCAAAGUUAUAGUAAAGCGCAUGGCCUGAGUGUGUGGCGCGCUGUGUAAUGAAUUUCUGACCCAUCAACUUGUUGGUAGUGUAGUGGACUACCAAGGUGAUAACGGGUAACGGGGAAUUAGGGUUUGAUUCCGGAGAGGGCGCCUGAGAGACGGCACCUACUUCUAAGGAAGGCAGCAGGCGCGCAAAUUACCCAAUUCUAGUAAAGAGAGGUAGUGACAAGGAAUAACAAUGUAGUGCCUGAAUAAGGUGUUAUAAUUGGAAUGAGUUGGGGAGUAAAAUCCCCUUCGAGUAUCAAUUGGAGGACAAGUCUGGUGCCAGCACCCGCGGUAAUUCCAGCUCCAAGAGCAUAUAUUAAAGUUGCUGCAGUUAAACGCCCGUAGCCUUAGUCAUGGCCGGAACUCGAUAGUCUUUACCCCUCUGGGGAAUCGAUUGCUUGUGCUUGUCAUAUUUAGGUGGAGACCUUCCUGGGCUUAACUGACUAGGAGAUUGGAGCCAUCAUUUUACUGUGAAUAAAUCAAACCGCCUAAGGGAGGUUGUAUACUGUGAAUGUUUAGCAUGGCAUGAUAGAAUAUGGUGCUUCAGACGCUCGAAGCCGUACUGGGGUACAAUGAUAAAUGGGAAGGAACGGGGAGGUCCUUAUUUUGAGAGAAGAGGUGAAAUUCUAUGAUUCUUGAAAGAAGAACAACAGCGAAAGCAGUCCUCCAGAACCUAUCCAUCGGUCAAGGACGAAAGUUUGGGGAUCGAAGACGAUCAGAUACCGUCGUAGUCCAAACUAUAAACGAUGUCAUCUAACGAUUUUGGGGAGUUAAUAUUUACGACCCUUAGAGUAUUUUGUAAGAAAUUACAAGCGCAUGGACUCUGGGGGGAGUAUGGUCGCAAGGCUGAAACUUAAAAGAAUUGACGGAAGAUCACCACCAGGAGUGGAACCUGCGGCUUAAUUUGACUCAACACGGGAAAGCUCACCAGGUCCGGACACUUGGAUGAUUGACAGAUUGACAGCUCUUUCUUGAUUAGGUGGGUGGUGGUGCAUGCCCGUUCUUAGUUGGUGAGUGAUUUGUCUGGUUUAUUCCGAUAACGAACGAGAUCUUAGUUUAUUAAAUAGUGGUUGUGUUACUCUAUGUGGGUGAAGUGUGUUGGAAUGCGGUCUCUUUAACCGGGGGCUGUAGGCUGGCAUAUGGAUCUUUGAGGCAAACGCAGUCAUCUUCUUAGAAAGACUACCUAUGGUAAAUGGGGGGAAGCUUAAGGCAAUAACAGGUCUGUGAUGCCCUUAGAUGUUCUGGGCUGCACGCGCGUUACACUGAUAGUACAAUCGAGCAAGUUUUCCUUGGCUGUUAAGUCUGGGGAAUCUUUUAGAUGGUAUCGUGCUGGGGACAAAUGAUUGUAAUUAUUUAUUUCUAACGAGGAAUUCCUAGUAAGCGCAGGUCAUCAACCUGCGCUGAUUACGUCCCUGGUCUUUGUACACACCGCCCGUCGCUCCUACCGAUUGAGUCCUCCGGUGAAAUCUUCGGACAUAAAUGUCUCUAUAGGGAAACCUAUAUGCAAUUGCGAAAGUUGAGUGAACCACAGGAUUUAGAGGAAGGAGAAGUCGUAA